ACUGCUCAGUAACACGUAGCUAACCUGCCCUUAAUCACAGAAUACCCUCGGGAAACUGAGGCUAAAUCUGUAUAUGAGAUGAUUCUGGAAAGAGUUUUCUCUAAAACGCAAGGAUUAAGGAUGGGGCUGCGUCUGAUUAGGUUGUUGGCGGGGUAAAAGCCCACCAAGCCGAUGAUCAGUAGGGGCUCUUAGCGGAGUCGCCCCGAGAGGAAGUCUGAGACACUAUUUCCAGCUCUACGGAGUGCAGCAGUCGCGAAUCUUUUGCAAUGCGCGUAAGCGUGACAAAGCGAACCAAAGUGUUUUCCGCACAGGAAAACUUUUGCCAGCUGUAAAAAGGCUGGCGAAUAAGGACUGGGCAAGACCGGUGCCAGCCGCCGCGGUAAUCCCGGCAGUCCAAGUCGCAGCCAACAUUAUUGGGUCUAAAACAUCCGUAGCUUGUUUAUUAAGUUCUUUGUGAAAUCCGGCAUCUUAAGUGUCGGGCGAGCAGAGAAUACUGAUAAGCUCGGGAUCGGAAGAUGCAAGGAGUACACUCAAGGUAGUGGUAAAAUACGUUAAUCUUGGGUGGACUACCAAUUGGCGAAGGCACCUUGCAAGUACGAAUCUGACAGUGAGGGAUGAGGGCCAGGGGCGCAAAAUGGAUUAGAUACCCAUGUAGUCCUGGCAGUAAACACUGCUCACUAAACAUCGGGCUCUCUUCGGGAGAAUCCGGUGCUGAAGCGAAGGCGAAGAGUGAGCUACCUGGGAAGUAUAGUCGCAAGAUCGAAACUUAAAGGAAUUGGCGGGGGAGCA
This 789-nucleotide ribosomal RNA is filed under the name uncultured archaeon. RNAcentral's name for it is "bacterial SSU rRNA". It matches the Rfam family "Archaeal small subunit ribosomal RNA", at positions 85 to 878 of the family's 1478-position model. The record is from RNAcentral.